This 381-nucleotide long non-coding RNA is filed under the name Olea europaea (common olive). RNAcentral's name for it is "long non-coding RNA (OEUR_LNC010604)". The record is from RNAcentral. Lineage: Eukaryota; Viridiplantae; Streptophyta; Magnoliopsida; Lamiales; Oleaceae.
UUGCAAGUCGCCCAGAAUCUGAGCGAAUGGAGUGUCAUACAGUCGCCCAGAACUGUUACUCUAUUCUCGCCCAAACCUUCAAGUCGCCCAAGGUCUUAACAACAUAAAGCGUCGUGGUUAUCAAGAAGUGCAGUUAUCAAGGCAGUUAUUGAAGCAGCCCUAUCACGUUCCACGAUUCAAGGAACUCAAUCGAAAGCGGUUGAACGAUGAAGAGUAAUGGCAGUAGUUAAAAAAGGCAGUUUUCAUGACAAGUUGGCCAUUACGAAGAAAGUGGGCAGUUAUAGGACGAUCAAGCAGUUUUUAGAGCGGUUGAUCACAAAGAGAUCGUCCAUGAAGUAUAAAAGGGAGAAAGGACAUAGAAGCAAAAGACCGAAUCCAAAA